This 1098-nucleotide ribosomal RNA is filed under the name uncultured organism. Its description in RNAcentral is "bacterial SSU rRNA". It matches the Rfam family "Bacterial small subunit ribosomal RNA", at positions 22 to 1088 of the family's 1533-position model. The record is from RNAcentral.
GCUCAGGACGAACGCUGGCGGCGUGCUUAACACAUGCAAGUCAAGGCAGAGAGUACUUCGGGUAUGAUUAAACUGGCGAACGGGUGAGUAACGUGUGGGUAAUUUGCCUUCGAGCGGGGGAUAGGCCCGGGAAACCGGGAUUAAUACCGCAUAAAGUCAUAAUACGAUGGUGUUGUGAUGAAAGGUGGGGACCUUCGGGCCCGCCACUUGAAGAUAAGCCCGCAUCUGAUUAGUUAGUUGGUAGGGUAAUGGCCUACCAAGACCUCGAUCAGUAGCUGUUCUAAGAGGAAGAUCAGCCACAUUGGGACUGAGAUACGGCCCAGACUCCUACGGGAGGCAGCAGUGAGGAAUUUUGCGCAAUGGGGGAGACCCUGACGCAGCAACGCCGCGUGACCGAUUGAAGCUUUUAGGAGUGUAAAGGUCUGUCGUGAAGGAAGAAAAAGUCCGAGAAUAAUAAGUUCGGUAAUUGACGGUACUUCACAAGCAAGCUCCGGCUAACUUCGUGCCAGCAGCCGCGGUAAUACGAGGGGAGCAAGCGUUGUCCGAAAUAACUGGGCGUAAAGGGUACGUAGGCUUUUUUGUAUGUUUUCGGUGAAAUCCACAGGCUCAACUUGUGGCUUGCCGGAAAAACUGCAGAGAUUGAAUCCGGAAGGGGAAAGCGGAAUUCCUGGUGUAGCGGUGAAAUGCGUAGAUAUCAGGAGGAACACCAGUGGCGAAGGCGGCUUUCUGGUCCGGAAUUGACGCUGAUGUACUAAAGCGUGGGUAGCAAACAGGAUUAGAUACCCUGGUAGUCCACGCCCUAAACGAUGUAUACUUGAUGUCGGGAUGUUCGGUCGUCUCGGUGUCGUAGCUAACGUGUUAAGUAUACCGCCUGGGGACUACGGUCGCAAGACUGAAACUCAAAGGAAUUGACGGGGGCCCGCACCAGCGGUGGAACAUGUGGUUUAAUUCGAUGCAACGCGAAGAACCUUACCUGGGCUUGACAUAUGUAUGAAGUAUGUAAGAAAUUAUGUAUUCUGUCUGAUUUUUCAGACAGCAUAUAUACAGGUGAUGCAUGGCUGUCGUCAGCUCGUGUCGUGAGAUGUAGGGUUAAGUCCC